RNAcentral lists this transfer RNA (55 nucleotides) under Mesotoga sp. RNAcentral describes it as "tRNA-Ser". It matches the Rfam family "tRNA", at positions 21 to 71 of the family's 71-position model. Rfam says of the family: Transfer RNA (tRNA) molecules are approximately 80 nucleotides in length. Their secondary structure includes four short double-helical elements and three loops (D, anti-codon, and T loops). The record is from RNAcentral. Lineage: Bacteria; Thermotogati; Thermotogota; Thermotogae; Kosmotogales; Kosmotogaceae.
GAGCAUGCGGUUCAUACCCGCAGAGUCGUCAGUUCGAUUCUGACCGCCGCCACCA